RNAcentral lists this ribosomal RNA (506 nucleotides) under uncultured organism. RNAcentral describes it as "SSU rRNA". It matches the Rfam family "Bacterial small subunit ribosomal RNA", at positions 1 to 509 of the family's 1533-position model. The record is from RNAcentral.
CAACAGCUAGAGUUUGAUCCUGGCUCAGGAUGAACGCUGGCGGCGUGCCUAACACAUGCAAGUCGAACGAGGAACAUCCGGAAGGUCUUCGGACCGGAAAGAUAUUCCGAGUGGCGGACGGGUGAGUAACGCGUGGGUAACCUGCCCUGUACAGGGGGACAACAGUUGGAAACGACUGCUAAUACCGCAUAAGCGCACGGGAUCGCAUGUUCCUGUGUGAAAAACUCCGGUGGUACAGGAUGGACCCGCGUCUGAUUAGCUGGUUGGUGAGGUAACGGCCCACCAAGGCGACGAUCAGUAGCCGACCUGAGAGGGUGAUCGGCCACAUUGGGACUGAGACACGGCCCAAACUCCUACGGGAGGCAGCAGUGGGGGAUAUUGCACAAUGGGGGAAACCCUGAUGCAGCAACGCCGCGUGAGUGAAGAAGUAUUUCGGUAUGUAAAGCUCUAUCAGCAGGGAAGAAGAUGACGGUACCUGCAUAAGAAGCCCCGGCUAACUACGUGCC